Long non-coding RNA from Numida meleagris (helmeted guineafowl), 543 nucleotides. RefSeq lists it as uncharacterized. The transcript is spliced from 4 exons. Lineage: Eukaryota; Metazoa; Chordata; Aves; Galliformes; Numididae. The record is from RefSeq and is a predicted model, not a curated record.
AUAAAAAUAAUCUGGGACAAGAAGGUUAGCUCGGUUAAGCCAACAGCUAUGGAGCAAGAAGAACGAACCUGGCCCAGGCUGAGGGACCCUGCUGGUGCUAGAGGGAUGCCUGGUCCCUCAGCUAUACCCAGUCGAUGCUCUGCAGGACCUGGGUAGUUUGAGCAGCAGUUGAAUCUCUCUUCAGCUGAGAAAGAAGAAGGUGAGCUCCAGUGGAUGUGGAAGUAAUACUAGUGUGCAGUACACGGCAGGAAAAUUUUCUCAUAGGUUGAUCUGGCUAUCCUGGGAAGUGUUGGAGUACAAGUGCUGAAAGAUGUGAAGAUGUUAAAAGAUCGAGUUCUGCAGGAAAGAAAAAGGCUGAAAGUUCUCAGAAAUUGAAGGCAGCAUUCAAAGGAGCCUAACGGAGAAAUGUAGAAGAUUAAGUAAACGACACUAAGGAAUCUACUUAUGUGUGUGAGCUUGCUGCCUUUAAACAGUCAGGAAUACCAGAAAAACAAAACUGAAGAGAAACAAAAACCAACCAAACAAGAAACAUAAUAAAAGAAA